UCAUAAUCACGAAAAAAUCCUCAAAAUGAAACUAUAAAUACACUACCUAUGAUCUAUAAAUUCAUCAACUAAAACCAACAGCAAGAAGAAACAAACAUUGUACUGAAGUUCUAUAGCUUUUGCGAGUUCUCUAAACUUCUUAUUCUGCAAGUAUGGCUAUAGUCCCUGUUUCGGCUAGAAGGAUAUUCCGUGGCGACGGAGACGACAAUGGUUCGGCAAUCUUUCCAGAAAAACCCUGAUGUUUACGCUCGAUGGGGUUCACAUCUGGCUGGUUUAAAUUGAUGGAUCUCGGUUGGCCAGAAAUAAGUGUGGAUUUGAUGAGUUAAUAUGAAUAUUUGCGUGUGUGCUUAAGUUGGUUCGUCCUAUGUAUCCUCGUACAUGUAUGUGGUAGUUUGGUAUGUAGUGUUGUACCUUUCCUCAUGCAAUAAAUAAACGGGAUACUAGUCAUAUUACUAUUUCUCA
Molecule: long non-coding RNA, 462 nt
Organism: Papaver somniferum (opium poppy)
Lineage: Eukaryota; Viridiplantae; Streptophyta; Magnoliopsida; Ranunculales; Papaveraceae
Exons: 2
Source: RefSeq, a predicted model, not a curated record